GAGGGACGGAUGAUCGCGGGCGCUUUUGCGCGUGAGGAAAGUCCGGGCUUCGCAGGGCAGGAUGCCGGAUAACGUCCGGUGGAGGCGACUCCAAGGAAAGUGCAACAGAGAAAAGACAGCCACCCCAGGGUGGUAAUGGUGAAACGGCAGUGUAAGAGACUACCGCCGCUGCGGUAACGCAGCGGGUCAAUGCAAACCCCAUCCGAAGCAAGACCAAAUACGGGAGAGAUACGCCGGCCCGGCGUUCUCCCGGGUAGGUCGCUUGAGCCGCAGGGUAACCUGCGGACUAGAUAGAUGAUCAUCCAAGACAUAACCCGGCUUACAGUCUCUCUUGU
RNAcentral lists this RNase P RNA (335 nucleotides) under bovine gut metagenome. Its description in RNAcentral is "Bacterial RNase P class A". It matches the Rfam family "Bacterial RNase P class A". From Rfam's summary of the family: Ribonuclease P (RNase P) is a ubiquitous endoribonuclease, found in archaea, bacteria and eukarya as well as chloroplasts and mitochondria. Its best characterised activity is the generation of mature 5'-ends of tRNAs by cleaving the 5'-leader elements of precursor-tRNAs. The record is from RNAcentral.